CCUACGGGAGGCAGCAGUGGGGAAUAUUGGGCAAUGGAGGAAGCUCUGACCCAGCGACGCCGCGUGCGGGAUGAAGGCCUUCGGGUUGUAAACCGCUUUCAGCAGGGAAGAAGCGAAAGUGACGGUACCUGCAGAAGAAGCACCAGCUAACUAUGUGCCAGCAGCCGCGGUAAUACAUAGGGUGCAAGCGUUGUCCGGAAUUAUUGGGCGUAAAGAGCUCGUAGGUGGUUCGUCACGUCGGAUGUGAAAAUCUGGGGCUUAACCCCAGACCUGCAUUCGAUACGGGCGAGCUUGAGUAUGGUAGGGGAGUCUGGAAUUCCUGGUGUAGCGGUGGAAUGCGCAGAUAUCAGGAGGAACACCAAUGGCGAAGGCAGGACUCUGGGCCAUUACUGACACUGAGGAGCGAAAGCGUGGGGAGCGAACAGGAUUAGAUACCCUGGUAGUCCACGCCGUAAACGGUGGGCACUAGUUGUGGGGACCUUCCACGGUCUCUGCGACGCAGCUAACGCAUUAAGUGCCCCGCCUGGGGAGUACGAUCGCAAGAUUAAAACUCAAAUGAAUUGACGG
This 567-nucleotide ribosomal RNA is filed under the name uncultured bacterium. RNAcentral describes it as "bacterial SSU rRNA". It matches the Rfam family "Bacterial small subunit ribosomal RNA", at positions 338 to 916 of the family's 1533-position model. The record is from RNAcentral.